GAUCCUGGCUCAGGAUGAACGCUAGCUACAGGCUUAACACAUGCAAGUCGAGGGGCAGCAUUUUAGUUUGCUUGCAAACUAAAGAUGGCGACCGGCGCACGGGUGAGUAACACGUAUCCAACCUGCCGAUAACUCAGGGAUAGCCUUUCGAAAGAAAGAUUAAUACCUGAUGGCAUAGGAUUAUCGCAUGAUAAUCCUAUUAAAGAAUUUCGGUUAUCGAUGGGGAUGCGUUCCAUUAG
Molecule: ribosomal RNA, 239 nt
Filed under: uncultured bacterium
Lineage: Bacteria
Description: partial 16S ribosomal RNA
Rfam family: Bacterial small subunit ribosomal RNA
Source: RNAcentral